CUGCUUAUAAAAAGUAAUUAGAAGCGGUUCAAACCGUUUCCCUAUCUUUAAAAAAAAAACCGGGAUUUAAACUCCCUCAUUUCCCUCUUCCAUUUCUCACAAUUGCGCUCCCUGACUACCUCCUUCGCUUCCUCUUUCACUCUCACACCGUCACUCCACCACAACCACCAUUGCUGUUAGCUUCACUUAACCCCACCACAACAACUACACCAUUGCCUUAGCUUCACUUAGGUGUUGUUAGAGGAUUGAGAUUAAAGGGUGAGGUACUCCUUAAUACAAAUCAUCGAGGCUCAAGUGAAAUGAGGAGUUGCUGAUAUUGUUAACACAGGAGGUCGUCAACGUGGUUCCAUCACAACAGCUUUGUUUUUGAAGCAGAAAAUCGAAGGUUGUUUCGAGCUAUUCCGUCAACAGCAAGACGCACAAAUGACGGUGAACAACACAACCCAAGCUCAGUUAUUUGAGGAACUCCGCAACCUCAUAACCUAGAGGAACCACGACCAAGAACAAGGGCCACUGGGCUGGCUGUGCAGCCUACCUAGGCUGACUGUGCAACUGCUUGGCUUGGCUGUGCAGCCUGCCUGAGCUGCUGUGCUACUGUGCAGCCUGCCUGGGCUGCUGUGCAACUGUCUGGCUUGAUUGUGCAGCCUGCCUGGCUUGGCUGUGCAGCCUGCCUGGGCUUC
Chenopodium quinoa (quinoa) is the source of this 680-nucleotide long non-coding RNA. RefSeq lists it as uncharacterized. Lineage: Eukaryota; Viridiplantae; Streptophyta; Magnoliopsida; Caryophyllales; Amaranthaceae. The record is from RefSeq and is a predicted model, not a curated record. The transcript is spliced from 3 exons.